AUGUCAUCAUAACGUAAGACUGAAUGGUGCCCUGUACCUGUCUUGAGGAGAAUGGGUCCCACAAUGGUGUUCAUGGUGUUACUCGCUCAACAGUCUUACCGUGAUUGCCCACUGGGUGCUGGUGAUUCAGAUGUGAAUAAUACACACUCUCCAAGCUAGCUGACAGCCCAGUUGGAGGACCAGUUCAGGGCAUAAAUAACACACUGUGUUUAGACUCCAGCACAGUCAGGGGAAUGACUAACAAGGACAAAGAGGCGUCCCAAAGCCAAGAGUGUUUGAGGUGCAUUGAAAGAGGAUCGUUCAAAACCAAGGCUUCAGAGAUAGACUCGUGGAAGACAGGCUAGUGCCUCGGAGAGCACCGCCAUAAAUUGGUUCAGAGAUGAAUGCAAGUAGGGGAGUUGGCUGGCACCCAUGUUCAAAUGGCAUCCACCUAGACACCUGGGCAGUGAGCUCAACCUGGUUGAUACAUCAAGAAUCCAGUUUCAGUUUCCAGCUUGCCGAAUACAGAGGCUCACUGUCGUCUGUAACUCCAGUUCCAUGGAUGCCCACGUGCUCCUCUGACUGCCACUGGUAUCAGGCACAUACAUAAUGCACAUACAUACACGCAUCCUCCAUGAUUGGAGGUCUAUCAUGACACACCUGGUCUCCACAGUGGCCGCUGCCCACUCUUCCAGCCAUGUUCUUGUGCUGAUUCAAGGGAUCGAACUCAGCUGGCCAACCUUUCAAGGCUAGCUCUUGUGCUGAGCCAUCUCUCUAAGCCCUGG
Long non-coding RNA from Mus musculus (house mouse), 764 nucleotides. RefSeq annotates it as predicted gene, 40334. The transcript is spliced from 3 exons. NCBI's taxonomy places the organism in Eukaryota, Metazoa, Chordata, Mammalia, Rodentia, Muridae. The record is from RefSeq and is a predicted model, not a curated record.